This 1363-nucleotide long non-coding RNA is filed under the name Brassica napus (rape). RNAcentral describes it as "long non-coding RNA (BNAP_LNC018705)". The record is from RNAcentral. Lineage: Eukaryota; Viridiplantae; Streptophyta; Magnoliopsida; Brassicales; Brassicaceae.
AUCCCUUUUUACAAAUCAGGUGAUUCUACUUUCCCAGUUUGGGAGUAAGACAACUUCUUCAUCGUUCCAAUCGAACUAGGAUGAAUCUCUUUGUAAGAAGCUUGAUAUGGAUACCUAAAGUGGUGCAGAAUGACCAGGAAGUUGAAAAAUAUUUCAUAGGAGCUGAGAAGAAGAAGUUAUCCCACAUUCAAAUUAGUUGAUUCCAGUUUCCCAAUUUGGGAAUAAGACAACUUCUUCGUCGUUCCAAUCGAACUAGGAUGAAUCACUUUGUAAGAAGCUUGAUAUUGAUACCUAAAGUGGUGUAUAAUGACCAGGAAGUUGAAAAAAAAUCUCAUAGGAGUUGGGAAAAAGGAGUUAUCCCACUUUCAAAUCAGUUGAUUCCGGUUUCCCAGUUUGGGAAAAAGACAACUUCUUCGUCGUUCCAAUCGAACCAGGAUGAAUCACUUUGUAAGAAGCUUGAUAUGGAUACAUAAAGUGGUGGAGAAUGACCAGAAAGUUGAAAAAAAUCUCAUAGGAGCUGGGAAGAAGAAGUUAUCCCACUUUCAAAUCAGUUGAUUCCAGUUUCCCAGUUUGAGAAUAAGACAACUUCUUCGUUGUUCAAAUCGAACCAGGAUGAAUCACUUUGUAAGAAGCUUGAUUUGGAUACAUAAAGUGGUGGAGAAUCACCUGGAAGUUGAAUAAAUCUCAUUGGAGUAGGGAAGAAGAAGUUAUCCCUUUUUACAAAUCAGGUGAUUCUAGUUUCCCAGUUUGGGAAUAAGACAACUUCUUCAUCGUUCCAAUCGAACUAGGAUGAACCACUUUGUAAGAAGCCUGAUAUGGUUACAUAAAGUGGUGGAGAAUGACCAGGAAGUUAAAUAAAUCUCAUAGGAGUUGGGAAGAAGAAGUUAUCCCACUUUCAAAUCAGUUGAUUCUAGUUUCCCAGUUUGGGAAUAAGACAACUUCUUCGUCGUUCCAAUCGAACUAGGAUGAAUCCCUUUGUAAGAAGAUUGAUAUGGAUACAUAAAGUGGUGGAGAAUGACCAGGAAGUUGAAAAAAAUCUCAUAGGAGCUGGGAAGAAGAAGUUAUCCCACUUUCAAAUCAGUUGAUUCCAGUUUCCCAGUUAGGGAAUAUGACAACUUCUUCGUCGUUCCAAUCGAACCAGGAUGAAUCACUUUAUAAGAAGCUUGAUCUGGAUACAUAAAGUGGUGGAGAAUGACCAGGAAGUUGAAAAAAAUCUCAUAGAAGCUGGGAAGAAGAAGUUAUCCCACUUUCAAAUCAGUUGAUUCCAGUUUUCCAAUUUGGGAAUAAGACAACUUCUUCGUUGUUCCAAUCGAACCAGGAUGAAUCACUUUGUAAGAAGCUUGAUAUGGAUACAUAAACUGGA